Molecule: ribosomal RNA, 253 nt
Filed under: uncultured bacterium
Lineage: Bacteria
Description: partial 16S ribosomal RNA
Rfam family: Bacterial small subunit ribosomal RNA
Source: RNAcentral
UACGUAGGGCGCAAGCGUUGUCCGGAAUUAUUGGGCGUAAAGAGCUCGUAGGCGGCCAGUUGCGUCUGCUGUGAAAUCCCGGGGCUCAACCCCGGGCGUGCAGUGGAUACGGGCUGGCUAGAGGCAGGCAGGGGAGAACGGAAUUCCCGGUGUAGCGGUGAAAUGCGUAGAUAUCGGAAGGAACAUCAGUGGCGAAAGCGGCUUCCUGGACCAGCACCGACGUUCAGGCACGAAAGCGUGGGGAGCAAACAGG